UGGGGAAUAUUGGGCAAUGGGCGCAAGCCUGACCCAGCAACGCCGCGUGAAGGAAGAAGGCUUUCGGGUUGUAAACUUCUUUUAAGAGGGAAGAGCAGAAGACUGUACCUCUAGAAUAAGCCACGGCUAACUACGUGCCAGCAGCCGCGGUAAUACGUAGGUGGCAAGCGUUGUCCGGAUUUACUGGGUGUAAAGGGCGUGCAGCCGGGAAUGCAAGUCAGAUGUGAAAUCCAUGGGCUUAACCCAUGAACUGCAUUUGAAACUGUAUUUCUUGAGUACUGGAGAGGCAAUCGGAAUUCCUAGUGUAGCGGUGAAAUGCGUAGAUAUUAGGAGGAACACCAGUGGCGAAGGCGGAUUGCUGGACAGCAACUGACGGUGAGGCGCGAAAGUGUGGGGAGCAAACA
RNAcentral lists this ribosomal RNA (404 nucleotides) under uncultured bacterium. RNAcentral describes it as "bacterial SSU rRNA". It matches the Rfam family "Bacterial small subunit ribosomal RNA", at positions 355 to 774 of the family's 1533-position model. The record is from RNAcentral.